CCAGACUCCUACGGGAGGCAGCAGUGGGGAAUAUUGCACAAUGGGGGAAACCCUGAUGCAGCGACGCCGCGUGAGUGAAGAAGUAUUUCGGUAUGUAAAGCUCUAUCAGCAGGGAAGAUAAUGACGGUACCUGACUAAGAAGCCCCGGCUAACUACGUGCCAGCAGCCGCGGUAAUACGUAGGGGGCAAGCGUUAUCCGGAUUUACUGGGUGUAAAGGGUGCGUAGGUGGCAGGGCAAGUCAGAUGUGAAAGCCCGGGGCUCAACCCCGGUACUGCAUUUGAAACUGUCCAGCUGGAGUGCAGGAGAGGUAAGCGGAAUUCCUAGUGUAGCGGUGAAAUGCGUAGAUAUUAGGAGGAACACCAGUGGCGAAGGCGGCUUACUGGACUGUAACUGACACUGAGGCACGAAAGCGUGGGGAGCAAACAGGAUUAGAUACCCUUGUAU
Molecule: ribosomal RNA, 445 nt
Filed under: uncultured bacterium
Lineage: Bacteria
Description: bacterial SSU rRNA
Rfam family: Bacterial small subunit ribosomal RNA
Source: RNAcentral